UCCCGGUUAACCCGGGCAGUCUCACUAGAGUUCCCACCUUAAAUGUUGGCAACUAGUGAUAAGGGUUGCGCUCGUUGCGGGACUUAACCCAACACCUCACGGCACGAGCUGACGACAGCCAUGCAGCACCUGUGCAGCGGCCCCGAAGGGAGACUCUAUUUCUAGAGCUGUCCACUGCAUGUCAAGACUGGGUAAGGUUCUUCGCGUUGCAUCGAAUUAAACCACAUGCUCCACUGCUUGUGCGGGUCCCCGUCAAUUCUUUUGAGUUUCAGCCUUGCGACUGUACUCCCCAGGCGGUAUACUUAUCGCGUUAGCUUCGGCACAACUGGGGUUGAGUCCAGUUACACCAAGUAUACAUAGUUUACGGCAAGGACUAC
This 377-nucleotide unclassified non-coding RNA is filed under the name uncultured Parachlamydiaceae bacterium. Its description in RNAcentral is "contains 16S-23S intergenic spacer region". The record is from RNAcentral. Lineage: Bacteria; Pseudomonadati; Chlamydiota; Chlamydiia; Parachlamydiales; Parachlamydiaceae.